UAAACUGCUUUUAUUCGGGAAUAAACCUUUCUACGUGUAGGAAGCUGAAUGUACCGAAGAAAUAAGGAUCGGCUAACUCCGUGCCAGCAGCCGCGGUAAUACGGAGGAUCCAAGCGUUAUCCGGAUUUAUUGGGUUUAAAGGGUGCGUAGGCGGCUUAUUAAGUCAGGGGUGAAAGACGGUGGCUCAACCAUCGCAGUGCCCUUGAUACUGAUGAGCUUGAAUACACUAGAGGUAGGCGGAAUGUGACAAGUAGCGGUGAAAUGCAUAGAUAUGUCGCAGAACACCGAUUGCGAAGGCAGCUUACUAUGGUGUUAUUGACGCUGAGGCACGAAAGCGUGGGGAUCAAACAGGAUUAGAUACCCUGGUAGUCCACGCCCUAAACGAUGAAUACUCGCUGUUAGCGAUAUACAGUUAGCGGCUAAGCGAAAGKUUAAGUAUUCCACCUGGGGAGUACGCCCGCAAGGUGAAACUCAAAGGAAUUGACGGGGGCCCGCACAAGCGAGGGAGCAUGUGGUUUAAUUCGAUGAUACGCGAGGAACCUUACCCGGGCUUGAAAGUUAGUGAAUGAUCUAGAGAUAGAUCAGUGAGCAAUCACACGAAACUAGGUGCUGCAUGGCUGUCGUCAGCUCGUGCCGUGAGGUGUUUGGGUUAAGUCCCSCAACGGGCGCAACCCCUWUGUUUAGUUGCCAGCACGUUUAGGGKGGGGACUUUUAA
RNAcentral lists this ribosomal RNA (715 nucleotides) under uncultured Pedobacter sp. RNAcentral describes it as "bacterial SSU rRNA". It matches the Rfam family "Bacterial small subunit ribosomal RNA", at positions 426 to 1144 of the family's 1533-position model. The record is from RNAcentral. Lineage: Bacteria; Pseudomonadati; Bacteroidota; Sphingobacteriia; Sphingobacteriales; Sphingobacteriaceae.